Molecule: ribosomal RNA, 718 nt
Filed under: uncultured bacterium
Lineage: Bacteria
Description: bacterial SSU rRNA
Rfam family: Bacterial small subunit ribosomal RNA
Source: RNAcentral
AACAGGAUUAGAUACCCUGGUAGUCCACGCCCUAAACGAUGAAUACUCGAUGUUGGCGAUAUACGGUCAGCGUCUAAGCGAAAGCGUUAAGUAUUCCACCUGGGGAGUACGCCCGCAAGGGUGAAACUCAAAGGAAUUGACGGGGGCCCGCACAAGCGGAGGAGCAUGUGGUUUAAUUCGAUGAUACGCGAGGAACCUUACCCGGGCUUGGAAGUUAGUGAAUGAUACAGAGACGUAUCAGUCCUUCGGGACACGAAACUAGGUGCUGCAUGGCUGUCGUCAGCCCGUGCCGUGAGGUGUUGGGUUAAGUCCCGCAACGAGCGCAACCCCUGUGUUUAGUUGCCAGCGCGUAAUGGUGGGGACUCUAAACAGACUGCCUAUGCAAAUAGAGAGGAAGGAGGGGACGACGUCAAGUCAUCAUGGCCCUUACGUCCGGGGCUACACACGUGCUACAAUGGACAGUACAGAGGGCCGCUACCUGGCAACAGGAUGCCAAUCUCAAAAAGCUGUUCACAGUUCGGAUCGGGGUCUGCAACUCGACCCCGUGAAGUUGGAUUUGCUAGUAAUCGCGUAUCAGCAAUGACGCGGUGAAUACGUUCCCGGGCCUUGUACACACCGCCCGUCAAGCCAUGGAAGCUGGAAGUGCCUGAAGUGCGUAACCGUAAGGAGCGUCCUAGGGUAAAGUCGGUAACUGGGGCUAAGUCGUAACAAGGUAACC